This 660-nucleotide ribosomal RNA is filed under the name Triticum aestivum (bread wheat). RNAcentral's name for it is "eukaryotic LSU rRNA". The stretch from base 244 to 399 matches the Rfam family "5.8S ribosomal RNA". The record is from RNAcentral. Lineage: Eukaryota; Viridiplantae; Streptophyta; Magnoliopsida; Poales; Poaceae.
CUGCGGAAGGAUCAUUGUCGUGACCCUGACCAAAACAGACCGCGCACGCGUCAUCCAACCCGUCGGUGACGGCACUGUCCGUCGCUCGGCCAAUGCCUCGACCACCUCCCCUCCUCGGAGCGGGUGGGGGCUCGGGGUAAAAGAACCCACGGCGCCGAAGGCGUCAAGGAACACUGUGCCUAACCCGGGGGCAUGGCUAGCUUGCUAGCCGUCCCUUGUGUUGCAAAGCUAUUUAAUCCACACGACUCUCGGCAACGGAUAUCUCGGCUCUCGCAUCGAUGAAGGACGUAGCGAAAUGCGAUACCUGGUGUGAAUUGCAGAAUCCCGCGAACCAUCGAGUCUUUGAACGCAAGUUGCGCCCGAGGCCACUCGGCCGAGGGCACGCCUGCCUGGGCGUCACGCCAAAACACGCUCCCAACCACCCUCAUCGGGAAUCGGGACGCGGCAUCUGGUCCCUCGUCUCGCAAGGGGCGGUGGACCGAAGAUCGGGCUGCCGGUGUACCGCGCCGGACACAGCGCAUGGUGGGCGUCCUCGCUUUAUCAACGCAGUGCAUCCGACGCGCAGCCGACAUUAUGGCCUCAGAACGACCCAGCAAACGAAGCGCACGUUGCUUCGACCGCGACCCCAGGUCAGGCGGGACUACCCGCUGAGUUUAAGCA